RNAcentral lists this ribosomal RNA (418 nucleotides) under uncultured bacterium. RNAcentral's name for it is "bacterial SSU rRNA". It matches the Rfam family "Bacterial small subunit ribosomal RNA", at positions 30 to 447 of the family's 1533-position model. The record is from RNAcentral.
AUUGAACGCUGGCGGCAGGCCUAACACAUGCAAGUCGAGCGGUAGAGAGGUGCUUGCAUCUCUUGAGAGCGGUGGACGGGUGAGUAAUGCCUAGGAAUCUGCCUGGUGGUGGGGGAUAACGUUCGGAAACGGACGCUAAUACCGCAUACGUCCUACGGGAGAAAGCGGGGGAUCUUCGGACCUCGCGCCAUUAGAUGAGCCUAGGUCGGAUUAGCUAGUUGGUGAGGUAAUGGCUCACCAAGGCGACGAUCCGUAACUGGUCUGAGAGGAUGAUCAGUCACACUGGAACUGAGACACGGUCCAGACUCCUACGGGAGGCAGCAGUGGGGAAUUUUUGGACAAUGGACGCAAGUCUGAUCCAGCCAUUCCGCGUGCAGGAUGAAGGCCCUCGGGUUGUAAAGCACUUUCAGCGAGGAGG